Long non-coding RNA from Gavialis gangeticus (Gharial), 6220 nucleotides. RefSeq lists it as uncharacterized. The transcript has 2 exons. The record is from RefSeq and is a predicted model, not a curated record. Lineage: Eukaryota; Metazoa; Chordata; Crocodylia; Gavialidae.
UCUCCACUUCCCAUUUUUAUGAUUUUUUCUCAAUAUGAAAUUUUGACAUCUGUUUUGUUAUAAAAAUGAAUAUUAGCUUUAUUUAUGGAGAAUCAAAUAUAGACAGAAUGUCGAGCAAAACAUUAAUCUUAAUUAAAUGCAUUUUCCAUUGUAAUGAAGUUUCCACAAUUCCUAUAUAAUUAGGGCAAAAUAUAAUUACAUUGAAGAGAUUCAGUGCUCUUCAGUGAAACCCUUAUAUGAGAGUACACAUGCACACAUGCAUGUAUGCAUAUACAGGAUCCAUUUAGUAUUAAUCAAUUUAAUUUGAAGCCUCUUCUUGAAAUUCCUAAUAGUUUAGAUUUCCCACACUCCCAUAAUUGGCUGAUAAAUCACACAUGAAAACGUAAGUGUUUUGGAUUUCACUUUGGGUCGGGUGGUGACAAACACUAGUGCUAUUACUCACAAAUUUUCUUCCAAGUGUCGAUCUCCAGUGUUUCUUGCCACUUGCAUUUGCUGAGCUUGUCUUUAUUGCUGCUGCAACGGGCUCGAUUAACAAAAUAUAUAGCAGAGAGAUGUGCACAUUUUUGCUUUAUUUCCUUUUUGCUCUCCAGAACAAAGAGAUUUGAAGAUAUACCCAUUAAUAAGCAGUUUGUUUGUGCUGUUUAGUGUAAUUUAAGAAUAUCUAGUAUAGGAAUUUUCCAGAAACUAAUUACCACCAUUUUUGUGGCUUUAAAAUUCAGAGAGCCUGCCGCCACAGAGACUCUUUUGAGACUGAAUUUAGAUGGAAAAGAAUUGUGCGUGUACCUGGCCAGCACUGAAUGUGCAGCAGAACUGCUGGAUCCAUGCCACCCUGAAGUUUGCCUUUUCUUUAGGAGGCAACAUGGUCUUACCAAGAACCCACUUUCCUACGUGGGUCAGAAGCGGGGCACAGGAAGAUGUCACAUCAGCACGCGAGCUGGGACGUUUCAAAGGCCUGUUGAAGACUGGAUGGGGAUGGGGGGCAACAUAAAUUAGUGUGAAUGAUGAUGAGUCUGAUGCCAGGAUGAGUGGGGCAAAACUCUCCUAGAUUUCAAUGGUGCAGGGGCAAGUCCUCCACUCCUGAAGUCACAAACUGGAUUCCACCAGCCUCACGGAAGAGGAGCGGUCUCUCCAACCCCAUCGCUCAUCCCAGCUGGCAGGGCGUUCAACCCGAGUAAGGAUGGCAGAAUUGGGGUCUCUCCUUGCAGUGACACAGAACAAGGCAAUGACAUCUGAAUGAGACGUGUCAGUUAUUCCCAUUUCUACCAUCACGGUGCCCACAGGCCCCAAGUGGUGCUGGCUGUGUUACGUAUACAUAGGAUCCUGCUCCCAAUUUAAAUAAACACCAGGUGAGGGGAGGGGGAACUGAGGCACCAAAGCAAUGAUGCAAUUUGCUAUCAAUUAUACACAAACUUGGCAGGACUCGAUUUUCAUCAGUAAAUGUCGAUAAACGGUGGCUUCAUUUCACACUCGCAGACUGGUGAAAAAAGUAUUCCUGACCUUAAUCAAAAUGGAUAGAAAGGAGAUGUAAGGAAAGCAGUGCUGAUAGAGGUGUGUGACAACAGGCCGAACAGCCCUACAGAGCUGUGCUGGCUGGAGUUUGGACGGCGACUCCCAGAAACCCCAGGGGACCAGGAACCAAGGAAAAGGAACUGGCCAAGUGGAUGAGGGAGCUACGGGUGAGCGGAGCUGGGACGGAUGGCAGCUCUGCUGGCCGCAGUCCUACAGUCGUUACGUUUGUUGCGGUGGUGGUUAAACUACACUAUAAUAAUAGUCAACCGUCAUUAAUAAAUUGUUUGCCCUCCACGCUCCUAAUUUCACACAAUCCUGAAAAUUUAAAUCGUUAAGAAAAUCUAAACAAAUACUUAAAACUAAACAUUGAGAUUAUCCGUUGAAAUGACAAAUAAAUACAAAUCGAAUUCUGCCAAACCUCAUCGUGCAGCUGGCUGGUGACCGAGCUAAGAAGAGAAGCCAGGUCUGUGUAGUCUUGGUUAAACACUGUAGCUGCUUGACUGUGCGGUGUACCACCAACUACCCCCUGGCAUUCAGCUUGCUAUUAUAAGUCAGCAACUUAAGCAUGCGCUUAAAUCUAUCCCUACUUAGUGAAGCACCAAGACCAAUUCUUAACAGGAAACAAAGGCCAAUUAUUGUUAAUCAACAGUGCUGUGGUGCUGGCUGGGAGCUAUAAUCAUCACACCCCAAGACCAGGUGCUACACAAACACAGAAAAGGAAGGUUCGUGCCCCAAAUGAGAAACAACCGGUGGAUACAGACAGAUGGAUGGGGAGUGCAGGGGAAGGAGACAGUCCUGGGGAGCCCAGCUUCAGUAGCCUCAGUGUAGGUAAUGGUCUCAAUGGGACCAUGUACUCUGUUGAAUCAGGGCCGGAGCUGGCUGCCUCCAAAAUCCGAGAUGGGAAUGACUCAUUCUCCUGGCUGGCUGGCCAGCAGGCUGCAGCCAGAGGAUUGCACAUUCCUCUAACCGUCUGGUUUUAGAAGUCGCACAGGGUGCGGCUCCCACCCCUCCUUUGGGAGAGGAACUGACAGCAACUUUGCCUCAUAGCUGGAACAUCUGUUUCCUGAUUGCCAGCCGUUCAUGUCCUCCCAUUACUCCUGGUUAUACCCCCGCAUGCCACCCCGAGCCGUUCCACUCCUUCCUCGGCUUAAUCCCCUCCAGGCUCUUCUACACGGCUGCCACAGCGGUCCUUAGCAGGGGUUUGGCCAAACGAUACAUAUUUAGUUCUUUUAAUCUUUCUCCAUAAAUCACCGUCCUCAGUCCCUCCUCCCAUGCAACCUUGCACUGCCUCUGAAAUUCCCCAACUGCUUGGGAAGAUUUAGUAGCAUUUUCAGCUGCUCCAGGGCUAAUAAUGCAGAGUGUUUGAUCUCUAGGAGGGUGGCAGGAAGCGUUAGGGAUUUAACGCUUUGAGGUUCUGCCAUUUCUUAAGCCAGCUUGAUUGUUUUGUUUUAGGUCUUAAGGAGCGUUUCUGCUGGAGAGGAGGAGAACAUAACCAGCCACUGGCACCUUAGCUCCUGUGGCCCAGCUCAAGGGCACGGGGGGAGCUUUACCUCCUGAGAGCUAGGAUAGAAGGAGGCCACCGAGCCUGCAAUGAUAGGAAUUCCCAGCAGCUACAGGGCAUGCAGGAACUUCUCAAAGAAGGAAGACUGUAGCGGUCAAGGAUAUUCAGGGAUACAGAAAGCAAGCUGGAAAGGAGGAUGUCUUCCUCCAGAGGCCAAACAGGAGGGGGAGAGGAAGUAUGGCCUUGUGAUUGAGAGAGACUCUCGGGAGAGAGUGAGGCUCUGCUCCCUCCCCUGCCACUGAUUCCCCGUGGGACCUUGGUCAUGUUACUUUUAAUCUGUGCCUGUUUCUCCCCCUCUCUGUAAAAUGGGGACAAUCCUUCUCUAUUUGCAGAUGCUUUUAAACAUGCAGGUAUAUAGGAGACACCAGAAUACCACAGAUGUACAGAAUGAAUUACGAUGCUGGAAAUCAAGAGGUACCUGCAAUGGUAGGAGGGUACGAGUAAUUGGAUUCACAGAGCAUGGUAGUCUACUGUUUGAACUAAAAGACCUUUACUUACACAGAUGUGGCUUAAAGGGCCUGUAAGAUUGAGCAGUGGGGUGAGAAGAGCUUUCCCUUCACUUGAAUAACACAGCGAGCCCUUCUGGGGCACAGACAGGAUGGAAGAGCUCCCGAACAGAAUAAACACACUCAAGUGUUGGUGAACAAACACAUGCUGGAAGUGUUAUUAGAUGACAAACCAUGCAAUCUAGUGGACACAGAUACGACCUGACUGGAUGGGCUUCACAUCCAGAAUCAUCCUGGAGCCCGGACAUCUGCCACGCCACCGGCUUCGGUUCAGCAAGGCAGAACGGAGCAAAUGCUUUUCAUAUGAACACAAGGAAGGAAAGAUUAAAGGAGAAAUAGCAGAGGACAUCUGCUAGGGACCAGCCCCCCUCAAAGGGGAGUGAACACAGCAAUUCCUGGAUCUACUCCGAUAGUUCUCGAAACUCCAGAUCACAGCACUUGGGAGGCAUUUUAAAUAUCCGGACAUCUGCUGUGUAACAAAUGCAGCCAAAUUUUCACGAAGGAGAUUCUAAGAUAGAAAGACGACAAGUAAAACCUGCUGGAAAAAAAUUAAAAUCAGAAGAGAAGCCAUCCUGAAUUUAGCUUUGACUAACAAGACAACAGGGACUGAAAAUGUGAGAAUAAAGAAAAAGCGGUGCCUGCACUGACAGGCUCUGAUUUGACCAGAGUAAGGAAUGGGCUCAGUUCAGGGGGUCCAAGCACAGCUGAAGGCCAGGAUGUUGCAUUUUGGGGGAAGAAAGAAAUGAAGGGAGGGAUCCUGACACUACUGAAGCCAAUGGGCAGAUGCCCACUGAUUUCCAGUAGGGUUCAGCUCUCACCGUAAGUGAACACAGUAUUAUAGUAAGCAGCAUUAAAACCCCAUGUACAUACACAAAGAGUGGAAGUGGCAGAAAGGAUCAGACCCACAAAGUAGGGAAGUCUUAAACAAGGCAAAGGCACAGUCGUCAUCUUGAACAAUGCCAGGAACACGGGUGGCCAACACGGUUCCACAUGGGAGCUUUCAAAGAAUGAGGUAAGAAAAUCCUUGCUGCAGUUACUGGAAAAGGAGUAGCAGCAGCAGCCAGAAAACAGCACAAAUGAACAGCCCUAGGGGUCAAGGUGAAGGAAUAGGACUUUUAUUGUUCUGUUUUGAGGAAGUCGUUCUACAGUAACAUGAGUACGUGUUAAGGGGAGGGUGAAAAGAAGUGCAACUCAAAAAAGGAUGAUGCAUUUUGAAAAAAUCCUUGCUUAAGAGAAAUAAGAAGCUGAGAUCAACAGGAAAUGGAUAAGGACCUUACAAAAGAAUGAGCACUGAGAAAUGUAAGGCUAUUUUCUGAACCCACAAACACAAAUCAACUGUUCUUGCUGGCAAAGACUGCAAUGUAACCGAUCUCGAUGAGAAAAAAAAGGCUCGUUAGACUGCCUUAGACUUGAAGCUCUUCGGAGCAAUGCCUAUUCUGUGUUUGCCUAAAACAGGGGGGCUCCAGUCUUGGCUGGUUUCAGGGCAGUGCUGUAAUAACCAUGAUUUAUUCAUCAUGGAAGUGAUCUUGACUUGCGUUCUGAGAAUGUCAUUACUGGGAACAGCACCACACAUAAGAGGGGGCUCGGCAAAAUGCAGCUUGCUUGAAGUGACUUUCCAUUCCCAAGUCGCUGAAUAAACUAAGCAGCAUUUCACUGGAGCAGAGAGAAAUGCAACCACUGCAAAGGGUCCCAAUGCUUCCAACAGAUCUAAAGCAAUGAGGGAAAGGUUUUGGGAAGCAAAAUGUUCUCAAGAGGGACAAGGGAAGGGUGGAGGCUCAGCCAGAUGUGAGCGAGCAUAUUUCAAUGAGGCACAGGUGCUGUUCACUUCUGAUGCCUCCCCAGUGGAAGAUAAGGGCUCUCGGCCCCUUCAGGAUCAGGCCUAGAGAACCCCACGUUGCUCUGAUGCCCAGCAUCACCUGUGGGUUCCACCGCCAGAAUCUGGAUGUGCUCAUGACUGGGAUGAAUCGUCUCACUGCAAGGUGCUGGGAUACGUCAUUGCUAGUCAUUGCAAGAAAGAACAGGAGAACUGAGCUCAGUGAUUUCUUUGCCUUGCAGUUCAUCCCAGAGGAGUCUAUGUGGAUAGGGAUCUUUGUGUGUGGAAGUGAGACAAUUUGCAGAGUUCUUGCUACCGCAGACGUCAACGUGAAUGUGCAGGUUUGGAGAACGGGUGUAGAUUGACGUUACUGGUUAGAGAGUUGACAGAUUAUUCUUGAGCUCAAUAUUUACUGUAAAUAAUUCUUGAAAUCAACCCAGCCACGUCAGCAAUUCAUUCCAAGAAUAAUGUGGCAAGUAUCUGACAGGCACGGAUAGCUGCCAAUGUAGGAUCAACCCGCGAUGGUACUUAUUUUACAAGACAUUUUUAUUCUAUUUCACAGAUUUGACUAUUACAGCAGUGAAAUUAUUACAAGUGACUCAACAUUUAGGGUCAAAUUAAAAUAGAAAAAACACAAACACAAAGAAAAGUUACAUGUGAUGCAAUGUGUUUUAAGAACACAGAAAAAAUAUAUAAAAAUACGUUUGGGUCAAGAAUUUUGCAGACAACUUCUGACUUAGUUACACAGUUGACGCCACUUAAAAAGCACAGUAUUUGAAAAGUGUAAUUAGAAAUGUGAUAAAAUCCAACAGUAUAUAAAAGGCAAAAAAA